RNAcentral lists this ribosomal RNA (902 nucleotides) under Bacillus sp. A22(2010). RNAcentral describes it as "bacterial SSU rRNA". It matches the Rfam family "Bacterial small subunit ribosomal RNA", at positions 52 to 937 of the family's 1533-position model. Lineage: Bacteria; Bacillati; Bacillota; Bacilli; Caryophanales; Bacillaceae. The record is from RNAcentral.
UACAUGCAAGUCGAGCGAAUCUGAGGGAGCUUGCUCCCAAAGAUUAGCGGCGGACGGGUGAGUAACACGUGGGUAACCUGCCUGUAAGAUUGGGAUAACUCCGGGAAACCGGAGCUAAUACCGGAUAACAUUUUGAACCGCAUGGUUCAAAAUUGAAAGACGGCUUUUAGCUGUCACUUACAGAUGGACCCGCGGCGCAUUAGCUAGUUGGUGAGGUAACGGCUCACCAAGGCAACGAUGCGUAGCCGACCUGAGAGGGUGAUCGGCCACACUGGGACUGAGACACGGCCCAAACUCCUACGGGAGGCAGCAGUAGGGAAUCUUCCGCAAUGGACGAAAGUCUGACGGAGCAACGCCGCGUGAACGAUGAAGGCCUUCGGGUCGUAAAGUUCUGUUGUUAGGGAAGAACAAGUACCAGAGUAACUGCUGGUACCUUGACGGUACCUAACCAGAAAGCCACGGCUAACUACGUGCCAGCAGCCGCGGUAAUACGUAGGUGGCAAGCGUUGUCCGGAAUUAUUGGGCGUAAAGCGCGCGCAGGCGGUUUCUUAAGUCUGAUGUGAAAGCCCACGGCUCAACCGUGGAGGGUCAUUGGAAACUGGGGAACUUGAGUGCAGAAGAGGAGAGUGGAAUUCCACGUGUAGCGGUGAAAUGCGUAGAGAUGUGGAGGAACACCAGUGGCGAAGGCGACUCUCUGGUCUGUAACUGACGCUGAGGCGCGAAAGCGUGGGGAGCGAACAGGAUUAGAUACCCUGUAGUCCACGCCGUAAACGAUGAGUGCUAAGUGUUAGAGGGUUUCCGCCCUUUAGUGCUGCAGCAAACGCAUUAAGCACUCCGCCUGGGGAGUACGGUCGCAAGACUGAAACUCAAGGAUUGACGGGGGCCCCGCACAAGCGGUGGAG